RNAcentral lists this ribosomal RNA (478 nucleotides) under uncultured bacterium. RNAcentral describes it as "partial 16S ribosomal RNA". It matches the Rfam family "Bacterial small subunit ribosomal RNA", at positions 28 to 507 of the family's 1533-position model. The record is from RNAcentral.
GAUGAACGCUGGCGGCGUACCUAACACAUGCAAGUCGAACGGAGUCCAGCCUUUAAGACCUUCGGGUCAAAGAGGGGAAGACUGAGUGGCGGACGGGUGAGUAACACGUGGGCAACCUGGCUCAUAGAGGGGGAUAACAGAGAGAAAUUUCUGCUAAUACCGCAUAAGCACACACUGCCGCAUGGCAGAGGGUGAAAAGAGAAUCGCUAUGAGAUGGACCCGCGUCUGAUUAGCCAGUUGGCAGGGUAAGAGCCUACCAAAGCGACGAUCAGUAGCCGAUCUGAGAGGAUGAACGGCCACAUUGGGACUGAGACACGGCCCAAACUCCUACGGGAAGCAGCAGUGGGGGAUAUUGCACAAUGGGGGGAACCCUGAUGCAGCGACGCCGCGUGAGUGAAGAAGUAUUUCGGUAUGUAAAGCUCUAUCAGCAGGGAAGAUAAUGACAGUACCUGAAUAAGAAGCCCCGGCUAACUACGUG